This 633-nucleotide ribosomal RNA is filed under the name uncultured bacterium. RNAcentral describes it as "bacterial SSU rRNA". It matches the Rfam family "Bacterial small subunit ribosomal RNA", at positions 66 to 692 of the family's 1533-position model. The record is from RNAcentral.
ACGGCAGCAUAGGUGCUUGCACCUGAUGGCGAGUGGCGAACGGGUGAGUAAUGCAUCGGAACGUGCCCAAUCGUGGGGGAUAACGCAGCGAAAGCUGUGCUAAUACCGCAUACGAUCUACGGAUGAAAGCGGGGGACCUUCGGGCCUCGCGCGAUUGGAGCGGCCGAUGUUAGAUUAGGUAGUUGGUGGGGUAAAGGCUCACCAAGCCGACGAUCUAUAGCUGGUCUGAGAGGACGACCAGCCACACUGGAACUGAGACACGGUCCAGACUCCUACGGGAGGCAGCAGUGGGGAAUUUUGGACAAUGGGCGAAAGCCUGAUCCAGCAAUACCGCGUGCAGGAAGAAGGCCUUCGGGUUGUAAACUGCUUUUGUACGGAACGAAAAGGUCUGCCUUAAUACGGUGGGCUCAUGACGGUACCGUAAGAAUAAGCACCGGCUAACUACGUGCCAGCAGCCGCGGUAAUACGUAGGGUGCGAGCGUUAAUCGGAAUUACUGGGCGUAAAGCGUGCGCAGGCGGCUUUGUAAGACAGACGUGAAAUCCCCGGGCUCAACCUGGGAAUUGCGUUUGUGACUGCAAGGCUAGAGUACGGUAGAGGGGGGUAGAAUUCCGCGUGUAGCAGUGAAAUGCGUA